GUUCAAUGCAAUGGAAGUGGAAUGUGUUUUUUAUUCUUUGAAUAAUGUCUCGUUUCAAAGAGAUUUCUUGGGUAUUCAUAACAAUCAAAUUAUGUAUGUAUUAUUACCAAGACGAUGCCCUUUUCUCUCUUAAUCGAUAAUUGGUAGUUGGUACGUACACUUUAUAUUUGCUAUAUCCAAAUUCUCGAUAUAGCAGUUUUCUGUCACACAAGCAAAUUUUCAACAUAGAACCAUUUUCUGCAUAAUGCCGUAUAAUCUUUUACUUGCUAUCUCUUCCUGUAAAUUUUAAAUCAAGCGGCAACAGCCUUGCAGACCGAGGUCGGCAAGUCCCAAAUUGCUGGAAGGAGAAAUUUCUUGCCAUUGGCACCGUAAGCGUUAUAGCUUGCCUUGCUAGUUUUAUCAACGAUCAACUUUCCAGGAUAUCCUGGAUAAGCUCCAGCACCAAAUAUUCCAGGACAAGCGGAGACAGCCUCCAGUGGUGCCAAGGCAUUGCCCUGGAAGUAACCAUUCUUAUAAGGGUUGGUAGCAGCUCCUGCAAGAACAGUUGCAAUGUUUAUAAUAAUCCCAUCAGCACUAACACCAUUAGGUGCCACCAGGGCAGGCCCUGGACCAUAAGCUGGAACUGCAUAAGGCCAGGCACAAAAUCCAGGACACUGUCCCGAGUCUCCUACAUGUGCAUAUACUACUUUAACCUUGGAGAGCUGAGCACUGUCAUGAAACCCACAGGAAUCCCUGCAAAAUUUCUCCACGAUUGUGUCCUUAGAGGUCAAAACUAGGUAAAAACCUUUAGAGUCUUCAGGAAGUCUUUUGGCUUUUAUAUUGUUCUUGACAACGUCAGCUAUUUGGGCACGCCUGAUAUUCUUGCCCAAAGAAUAUACAUCGGCAACUUGUUUAACGACUCUAAAAGCCCUAGAAACAGGCUUCUGAGCCUUGUCCUUGUAAGAACCAGUUAUUUUCCACCAUGUUAAGACACUGGGCUUUAGAUGGGGAUCAAUGACCUCGGGGUUGAAAGAAGCAAAGAAAUCAAGUAUGGAGUUUCUGUCUUUUAUGGAGAAAAAUCCAUACCAUACAAGGUAGACAUUGAUAACACUGGGUUCUGUCAAAAGAGGGCCUCCAUGGUACGCGAGUGUGUUGGAUGUUAGGGCUACAGAAGAAGAUUGGGUUUGGGUUUGGUUAGAAUAUGAUCGGGGUGCUAAGGCCAGGGCAACUAUAGUAAUCAGGGGGCAGAGCAGAGACCUCGCUAACAUUUUGAUCUUUCUUGGAUAUAAAUGAAGGAUUAUUGUUAU
Molecule: unclassified non-coding RNA, 1286 nt
Filed under: Hevea brasiliensis (rubber tree)
Lineage: Eukaryota; Viridiplantae; Streptophyta; Magnoliopsida; Malpighiales; Euphorbiaceae
Source: RNAcentral